AAUUAAACAAGAUUACCCGCUGAAUUUAAGCAUAUUAUUAAGCGGAGGAAGAGAAAACAACAGUGAUUCCCUUAGUAGUGGCGAACGAAGAGGGAAAAGCCCAAAAUUAAAAUCUCUAAAGUAUCAAAACUUUAGCGAAUUGUAGUUUUUUAAUUCAAUUAAUUUAAAAGAUUUUUAAAAGAAUAAUUUACUCUGGAAAGUGUAAACCAAAGAGGGUGAUAGUCCCUUGUUUCUUUUUGAAAAGAUCUUUCAAUAAUUUAAUUGAACUAAAGAGUCGAGUUGUUUGGGAAUGCAGCUCAAAAACCAUUUUUAGGGUGGUAAAACUUCACCUAAGGCUAAAUAAUUUGGCGAGAGACCGAUAGCGAACAAGUACCGUGAGGGAAAGAUGAAAUAGCACCCAGAAAUGGGGAGUUAAAGUUAGCACGUGAAAUUGUUGAAA
This 439-nucleotide ribosomal RNA is filed under the name uncultured eukaryote. Its description in RNAcentral is "eukaryotic LSU rRNA". It matches the Rfam family "Eukaryotic large subunit ribosomal RNA", at positions 10 to 413 of the family's 3401-position model. The record is from RNAcentral.